GACGAACGCUGGCGGCGUGCCUAAUACAUGCAAGUCGAGCGCAGGAAGCUGACGGAACUCUUCGGAGGGAAGGCAGUGGAAUGAGCGGCGGACGGGUGAGUAACACGUAAGGAACCUGCCUCAAGGAUUGGGAUAACUCCGAGAAAUCGGAGCUAAUACCGGAUAGUUCAACGGACCGCAUGGUCCGCUGAUGAAAGGCGCUCCGGCGUCACCUUGAGAUGGCCUUGCGGUGCAUUAGCUAGUUGGUGGGGUAACGGCCAACCAAGGCGACGAUGCAUAGCCGACCUGAGAGGGUGAUCGGCCACACUGGGACUGAGACACGGCCCAGACUCCUACGGGAGGCAGCAGUAGGGAAUCUUCCACAAUGGACGAAAGUCUGAUGGAGCAACGCCGCGUGAGUGAUGAAGGUUUUCAGAUCGUAAAACUCUGUUGUAAGGGAAGAACACGUACGAGAGGAAAUGCUCGUACCUUGACGGUACCUUACGAGAAAGCCACGGCUAACUACGUGCCAGCCGCCGCGGUAA
RNAcentral lists this ribosomal RNA (524 nucleotides) under uncultured bacterium. RNAcentral's name for it is "partial 16S ribosomal RNA". It matches the Rfam family "Bacterial small subunit ribosomal RNA", at positions 28 to 523 of the family's 1533-position model. The record is from RNAcentral.